GUGACCUGCGGAAGGAUCAUUACUGAGUGAGGGCCCUCUGGGUCCAACCUCCCACCCGUGUUUAUUGUACCUUGUUGCUUCGGUGCGCCCGCCUCACGGCCGCCGGGGGGCUUCUGCCCCCGGGUCCGCGCGCACCGGAGACACUAUUGAACUCUGUCUGAAGAUUGCAGUCUGAGCAUAAACUAAAUAAGUUAAAACUUUCAACAACGGAUCUCUUGGUUCCGGCAUCGAUGAAGAACGCAGCGAAAUGCGAUAACUAAUGUGAAUUGCAGAAUUCAGUGAAUCAUCGAGUCUUUGAACGCACAUUGCGCCCCCUGGUAUUCCGGGGGGCAUGCCUGUCCGAGCGUCAUUGCUGCCCUCAAGCACGGCUUGUGUGUUGGGCUCCGUCCCCCCGGGGACGGGUCCGAAAGGCAGCGGCGGCACCGAGUCCGGUCCUCGAGCGUAUGGGGCUUUGUCACCCGCUCUGUAGGCCCGGCCGGCGCCAGCCGACAACCAAUCAUCCUUUUUUCAGGUUGACCUCGGAUCAGGUAGGGAUACCCGCUGAACUUAAGCAUAUCAAUAAGCGGAGGAAAAGAAACCAACAGGGAUUACCUCAGUAACGGCGAGUGAAGCGGUAAGAGCUCAAAUUUGAAAGCUGGCUCCUUCGGGGUCCGCAUUGUAAUUUGCAGAGGAUGUUUCGGGAGCAGCCCCCAUCUAAGUGUCCUGGAACGGACCGUCAUAGAGGGUGAGAAUCCCGUAUGGGGAUGGGGUGUCUGCGCCCAUGUGAAACUCCUUCGACGAG
RNAcentral lists this ribosomal RNA (781 nucleotides) under fungal sp. Its description in RNAcentral is "eukaryotic LSU rRNA". The stretch from base 514 to 781 matches the Rfam family "Eukaryotic large subunit ribosomal RNA", at positions 1 to 264 of the family's 3401-position model. The record is from RNAcentral. Lineage: Eukaryota; Fungi.